UACGGGGGGGGGCAAGCGUUGUUCGGAAUUACUGGGCGUAAAGGGCUCGUAGGCGGCCAACUAAGUCGGAUGUGAAAUCCCCAGGCUUAACCUGGGAACUGCAUCCGAUACUGGAUGGCUUGAAUCCGGGAGAGGGAUGCGGAAUUCCAGGUGUAGCGGUGAAAUGCGUAGAUAUCUGGAGGAACACCGGUGGCGAAGGCGGCAUCCUGGACCGGUAUUGACGCUGAGGCGCGAAAGCCAGGGGAGCAAACGGG
RNAcentral lists this ribosomal RNA (254 nucleotides) under uncultured bacterium. Its description in RNAcentral is "partial 16S ribosomal RNA". It matches the Rfam family "Bacterial small subunit ribosomal RNA", at positions 524 to 776 of the family's 1533-position model. The record is from RNAcentral.